Molecule: non-coding RNA, 3698 nt
Organism: Taeniopygia guttata (zebra finch)
Lineage: Eukaryota; Metazoa; Chordata; Aves; Passeriformes; Estrildidae
Source: RefSeq, a predicted model, not a curated record
CCAGGAAAAAUAUUAACGCCACUGAAAGCUAAUGCAGCACCUAAUGGCUGCUGUCUCCUGCAGGAGUUCCUGGCUGCCUGCGCCCUGUCAGGCUCAGGUGCGCAGGUUUGGCUGCAGGAGCGGACACGGCCCCUGUUCCAGGCUGGAACCUCUCAGGAGUGAAUUGGAUUUAUCUCUCCGGGCCGCUCGGGCCGAGCCGCGGCCGCCAUUGCCGCGGGGCGGGGCCGGGCCCGCGGCGCCCAUUGGCUGUGGGGGUUGGGGGCGGGGCCGGGCCCGCGGCGCCCAUUGGCUGUGGGGGUUGGGGGCGGGGCCGGGCCCGCGGCGCCCAUUGGCUGUGGGAUUUGGGGCGGGGCCUGCGGCGGGCAGAACGCCCUAUAAGGGCGCAGCCCGGAGAGAGGCUCAGCACCAGCAGCGAUGGCCGAGUGGUUAAGGCGUUGGACUUGAAAUCCAAUGGGGUCUCCCCGCGCAGGUUCGAACCCUGCUCGCUGCGGUCCGGAGGGUUUCCGUUUUUUCUUUUUCCUGCCCGCUCCUGCUCCGUGCCGGGUACAAGUUUUGCUCCUCACGGCCGCUCCCCGCUCACGGCCUCCGCAGCUCUCAAAGCGAUGGUCUGGGACUGUGGCACGGGCGGGGCAGGAAGAGCGCCCACAGCGGAUCGUCCUCCCGUGCGGGGUGACCCUGGAGCCCGUCAGGGAGGCUCACAGCCACCCCGGGCCGGCUGUUCCGUGCUCAGUCACUGAGCAGGAAAGAACCCCUUCCUUCAGGUGGCAGCUCCUGUGCAGCAGCUCCUGGUCUUUGCCUCUUGUCGUUGCUGGGCACCACCGAGCAGAGCCUGGCUCCGCCUUCCUAACACCCCCUUUGGAUAUUUGUGCUCAUUGAAGAGCCAUCUCUUUGUGACCCUGAAUAGGCCCAGCUCCCUCAGCCUUUCCUCAUGACGGAUGCUCCAGUCUCCCCAUAAUCUCUGUUGCCCUAUGACAUUUAUGCCACUACAGCUCCUCAGGCCGUGCCUACCUGCUCCUCCCCUGCUCCUGCCAGAAGGAAGUGUAGAGCUGAAGCUGCAGCCGGUCCUGGGACAAGGUUCUGGCAUUGCACCCCAAGCAGUGACAGGAGCCCUGGGUGGAGGUGAGACAAGAGCACCUGGGCUUCAGUGCUCAUUCAACAGCUCAGCUUCCAGGCCCUGCAGACAGGACAGGCAGUGUCAGCUGCAAAGCUCAGGAUCCAUCCAGUGCCUUACACACAAACAGUGUCCUGAGUCACCUGAAGGUCUGUUGUUCUACCCCACAUCCUACAGCUGAUAGAAAAUAAAUCAAAUCUUGUCAGCAGAAGGCUUCUCUAUACGGAAUGGACUUGCUCCAUCAAACCUUGCCCUUCCUGAAGGAAGCUGAUCUGAUUGCUCCUGGACCUCCAGUGCGGAGGGCCCUCAAUCCUCUUUUCCUGCCUUUCAUGACCUUCUGCACAUGCAUGAUGCACAUACACACACAAUAUGGUGUUGACGGUGAAAAAAAACACAGAAGUUAUCAUACCAUUAAUAACCAGAAAAAACAAAACAAGGCAGCGUUCCUCAGCCGUCUGUGACUGGCUUAAACUGAGCUCUCACCACCCGGAUGUGUCCGUCUCCUCCUUUGUGUGGCCCCAGCACCAACCAAGGGCUGGAAAAGUGGCAACUCUGCCAGCGGCAGGGGGAGCGUGUGCACCGGGCUGCAGUAAAAUACCCAGCACGAACGAACUGAUAAUCAUCUGCCAGCUGACAGUGACACAGCCCAAAAACCUACGGACUGGUUUAUCUUUUGCUGUGUAAUUUCAUCAGCUUUACAACAGCCUCACUGCUUACACUUUCAUAUCCUGAAAUGAGAGAUGAGCCUGCUGGGAAGACAACCCUUUGCUGCUGUUUCUACUUUGCAAAGAGUUAAAGAUCUCAGUGGGCCCCUGAAAACCACAAACGUCUGACUCUGUUGCCUUAAUCACGCCUUCAGAGAGCCUGAGAUCCACUGCACAACCCGUGCCCCAGUUACAGUUCCAGCAUGUGAAUUACGUUUGGUGCUCACCAGUGCAGGGGCCAAAGCACCCCAUAACUGCUGCUGAAAUAUCAGGUGGGACAUUCAUUGGAUCUUUUCACACUACUUGCAAAAAACUUCUAAAAGUACUGUAUAUUUAAAGAAGCAGAUAAGCAGUUUAUGCUUGGGCUGUGGACACUGAGGGAUCUGACUAAGCUGUCAGGUGCUUUCUUUACUUUCUAACACGAGGGAGAACUGGGUUGCCCACUCAUUCCAGUUAACUCUUGUUACUGGCCAACAGGUCAGGUGCCACCUGGUCUUGGGGAAUGAAAAGCAGAACAGGGUGCAUGGGCUCCUCUUGUUUUCCAAUCAAUCUGAGUUUGCUCUGCUAGGAAUAGAUUCAUUCAACUCAAGAAAUACAGAAAAACAGAUCAUUUCUCCAUGUAAAGAGAUGGGGGAAAAAAAGUUCCUAUUGGUGGCAUUGGUGUACUGGAGCACCAGUUAGAACCUGCCCUCCUCAUGAGGACAAAUACAAAUUACAGGGCUGAUCUUGAGCAGGUUGUUGCAAAACACAGUUUCUGCCACGAGCUUUUACUGGGCUAAGAGCCUUCCAAAUAUCUGCAGUUAUUCAUACAGAACAAACAUCCAAAGGUUCUUUGUCAAAACCAACCACGCAGUAAUUGGCUAAUAAUGACAUCAGUUUUAAUGACAUCAGUUUUAAUGACACAAGCUAUUAGUUUGCUGUUCAAAGGUCUAUGGUAUGUUCACUUCUCAAAGGAAACCAGCUCAUUAGGUGCUAAAUUAUCCAUCCAACGACCCCCUCUUACCUUUACUGGCAAGUGAAAUGGGCAGGGGAGAAUCUGGGCUGCCAUCUGAUUCAAAGUGCUCCAGCUGGCUGCAUUCCCAUCUUUUUGUUAGAGGGAAAAUUGUUCCCUAUUACUCAGUAUCCUUCACAUACAAUAAAAGUUUCUUCUGUUACUACCGUUUAACAUUGUUUACAGUCCCUCUAUAUAAAAUGGACCAAAAUCUUUCUUGAGAAAAUACCUUUGUAUGAAGUAAAGCAGCAAAUGCACCAGAAAAAAACAAACCAGUUACAUUUAACAACUGUUACAGAGAAUUCUUAAUCUCAUCUUACAAUAUUUUCAGCUGCAAAAUAUGCAAGGGAAAAGCAUGUAAAAUUAAAGAUUAUGUGCUAUAGAACUGGCCCUUGGUACACAUCCCUCCAGGGAGACAGAUGUCAGAUUGUUUCCAUGUAACGUGGCACUUUCCAUGGCACUGCCUAGGAUUCAGAACUGGACUCCUUAAGCUUUUACCCACUAAGAUGACAAAUAAAAAGAAAUUUCAAAGGAAUCGCUGUGGUGAGUGGAGGAUUUAAUUAAAAAGAUGAAAGAAACCCCUUUUCUGUAUGCAUGACGUUUUAUUUGCUGCUGAUGGAAUUAUCUGCCUGCACAAAACCACGUCAACACCUGACAUAUUAGCCAAGUUUGCAAAGAAGAAAACAAACACAAAAUAAAUAAACAACAAUGUAGAAUUUGAAAAGUUGCCCAAAGUAUCAAAAACUUUUCAUGUGAGAUUUUGUACACAUUAGUGCUGACUAGGCUGAUUUUUCAUUCCUCACCAUACAAAACCCUGGUAAAUCCAUGUCUAGCACACCUGAGCACAGAGGGGAAUUGCUAUAAGCAAGGACAAAGCUGGCACACAUACACA